ACUGGGUCCACAUCACAGCAAGGGGCUUUCCUGGGGGAGCCCUGACACCAGCAGGCACGGGUGGCAGCUCUGUAGGCAGCCACGGGUCUCUGCGAUUGCAGGCACCCAGGAGGAGGGCAGCCUGACCACCUGCACGAGCCGGGGCAGCUGCUCCUUGGGAUGGGAGCAGCCUGGGCACAGCCGGUGGGAUGUGGCGGGGAGUUUCUUCUCCACAGCAGAGCCAGCAGCAGGAGGCUAUGCAGGGGGUGCCACCGAAAUCACAAGGGCUGCAGGGUUGGAAGAUGGCCCCAGCAGGCCCCUCCUGAACGGGGCGCUGCUCUGUGUAAGGGCAAAUACAGUGCCACUGCUUCCUGCUCCUCACCUCCCAGCCACUUCCAGCGGCUCUGGUGGGUGUCCCACCAGGAAAUCCCUCCAGAAUUGUUGCUGGCAGGGAACAGCAUCUGAGCAAGCAAAGGGACAGACAGAAGAACCAAGAGCAGCCAUCCCAAGGCUGGUGUUUUCCACACGGGCGAUGUGGAGAAGCAGGCCCCGGUGUGGGCACGGCCAGAGAGGAAGCCAACCCACACGGCGUCGGGGACCUUGCUGGGAGAGGGCAGCAAGCGCCCUGGGGAGCUGUUCUGAUGCUGCAAGGAGGCUGCAGGUUUGCCCAUCUACAUGUCCCAUGACUGUUUGGAAACAGAGGAACAGAUGGAAGCUGGGCUGAGUCCUUCCCAAAGGUUGUGCGAAGGGCAGCAACUGCAUCCGAAUGGCAGGAGUCUCCGCGCUCAAAGCAGAGAUCAUCUUCCCUGCACCGCCUGGCUACUCUGCAAAUUAAUCUUUGGACGCCUGAAGAUGGGCACCCAGAAAAUGAGGGAUCUUCCUGGCAUUAUAAAGAUGGAUGAAAGCCUGGGAAAUUUAUAGCCGAGCCUGCCUAUGUUGGAGUCUCUUAUUCCUGCCACUGAUAAAACGAGACCUGCUUCUGCAGUAUGGUAAAAUGGGCUUCCUUCAUCCAGAAACCACCUUAGGAAAGCUCUGCCAGCACACACCGACCGUCUCACCCAUGUGCUGCUUCCUGCGCCUGAGGGCUCAAAAUGGCGUCCCCUCCGCCGGGGCAUGGCGGCGCCUCUCCAGAGCUGUCCGGGGGCAAGCUGCUGUGUGUGGAGAGUUGCACGGCAUCGAGUGCAGCGCUGUGCGUUUGUGAAGAUAAAUGGACUGGGAGGAAAAGCUCUUUUGCUGUGCUGCUGCUAUUUUAAUGUGAAAGUGAGACCCUGAAAUGCUCUGUUCUACUUCAGUAGCUCUAAGAGGAGUCUUUCUCCAGAGGUCUCUGGUACCCAGAUUAAUUGAAAUAACUCCAAAAGGCUCUUUUAAAUCUAAUUCCCUCCCCCAUGUAUGCAGUCUCUUCUUCACUUUUUUCCCCCCUGUCUACACCCUCUCUUGAACAAAAAGCUUUCAAAUGCUUUUCUGGAAAGAACACGAAUGUAAUUCAGAUGAAGUUAAUGCGAAGUCAAGGUUGAAUGCUCUUCUCCCUGAAACCGCUAGCAGUGGCUGCGCUGGCUGGAGUGAGAUGGGAGCUCAAACAUAACUGGGAGACUCAGGAUGAACUGAACAAAGAGCAGGCUGGAGGAUGGAGAUCACCACUCCCUCCUCCCCAUGCGACCUCCUGCGCUCACGCUGAACCCUUUGAUCCCUGUCCAGGGCAUGGUGACGUGGCAGCCUGGGCCCAGGCCAGGGAUGUAUGCUGGGCGGAGGCUGUUGUCAUCUGUGGGGGCUCUGGAUCCACCUGUACCCUCGUUUCCACAAACAGUGCUGAGCAUCGCAGCGGGGGGCAUCGCUGCUGGUGCUCCUCCAGCUGAAACGCAGAAGCGUCCCCUCUAAACACAGCUCCUUUUACCAGAAACAGCUCUAAUAACAAAAUUUAAAACAAGUGGGCCUGUAUGUUGUAACCACUGUUCUAUUUUUGCCAGGCGCGUUUCUAUUUGACAUAGAAAUGUAAGACCACGUGUGCAAUAGUGCUGCUUAGGGCACAGAGUUUGUGUCUCUCAGGAGUGGUGGCUCUGGGAGAGCCCCACAGAUGAGCACAGCUCACUUGGGAAGGUGCUGCUCAUGGCAAGAGCAGUGCCAUGAUCUCACCCAUGGGAGCACAUCCUCUGCACCACCUGCUUUGGGGCAGUACUUUAGCUCCUUAUUCUUCUAUAGGAGUUUUAUUGCUGGGCUUAGUGAAUAUCAAGAAGUCUGAGUCCUUUCAGAUGUACUACCGCUGUCACUCAUGUUGACGUGGCCAUGUACAAAAUGAUCUGAAACUCGUGAUGGCAAAUGCUAAUUGGUAACGUAAUCAGUGGUGGAGGUGCAAGCUGUGGUUACUUGUGCUUCUCAGCUGCAGUUGGUUGUGGCCAUUCUUCCAUCAACAGGCUGGAAGAAGGAGCUGGUUCCUCCUAGCUGCCUCUGCAGUUGUGCCUUCUGAUAAGUAGCCUCCAGCACAGUGGCACAAGUGGGCUUUUUGUGAUUGAAGACUGUCAGCAGCAGACUGCAUGUCAGCUGUAAUAAUAGUCUCUGUUUUCUAUUAAAUCCUACAGUGAACCUGAUAUGGGUUCUGAUCUUUAUUAUUUCCAUGGGAUGGUCAGAAGAGGAAUUAUACCAUUCCUUAUCUAAAUCUCUCUGGCUAACUCCUACAGCACAGUCUUGCAUUACCCUUUUAUUAAAUGACACCAAGCUUUCCCAGGUGGUAGAGCCACUGCCCCUAGCAGGUUGCGCAAAGGAUGUUGCAACCCUACAAUUAUUAUUCUAGUGCAAAUGCUAAAACUGGUUGAAGAGGAUUUAGAAACCCCUUCUUUCCUCAGUUCCCUUCCACAAAUUACUUUAAAGGCUGGUGAAAUAAAUUUAGUUCAGACAGAUGAAAAGCAGUGUCACAGCAUCUCCUCAUUCCUGUGGGUUUUUACACAACAUGGCUUAAAUAACACAAGGACAAAUGCCUGAAGCAAGAGACCGCAAAAACACCAUAAGCCUCUCAGUGCUGCAGCUAAGAGUUCAGCUGGUGCCACCAAGAGGGGUCAAGACACUUUGGGGCAGUUACCCAUGGCUUGGGCACCAGCUCAAUGCUGGCAGCUCAGACGGAGCAGCCCCUGUUGUGCUACUCCGAUGGAGCUCUGCAGUUACAGCAACAAAAAUCCUCUGCUGUAGAUGAAGAUAAACUAUUUGAUGCUCAACCAGGGAAAUCAGUCUCUUUGUAUGGGGUAGAAGUGGAAGCCAUAGGGACCUAGGACAACUUUAUGCCUGUUUAUCUAUUACUGCAUCCACACUGAAGACUGUGGAGACCCUGAGGCAGCAGUAGGA
Long non-coding RNA from Cygnus olor (mute swan), 3309 nucleotides. RefSeq lists it as uncharacterized. The transcript is spliced from 4 exons. NCBI's taxonomy places the organism in Eukaryota, Metazoa, Chordata, Aves, Anseriformes, Anatidae. The record is from RefSeq and is a predicted model, not a curated record.